Molecule: ribosomal RNA, 403 nt
Filed under: uncultured bacterium
Lineage: Bacteria
Description: bacterial SSU rRNA
Rfam family: Bacterial small subunit ribosomal RNA
Source: RNAcentral
GGGCCCGCACAAGCGGUGGAGCAUGUGGUUUAAUUCGAUGAUACGCGAGGAACCUUACCAGGGCUUAAAUGGGAAAUGACAGGGGCAGAGACGCCCCCUUCUUCGGACAUUUUUCAAGGUGCUGCAUGGUUGUCGUCAGCUCGUGCCGUGAGGUGUCAGGUUAAGUCCUAUAACGAGCGCAACCCUCGUCCUAUGUUGCCAGCACGUAAUGGUGGGAACUCAUGGGAUACUGCCGGGGUCAACUCGGAGGAAGGUGGGGAUGACGUCAAAUCAUCAUGCCCCUUAUGUCUUGGGCUUCACGCAUGCUACAAUGGCCGGUACAGAGGGCUGCAAUACCGCAAGGUGGAGCGAAUCCCAAAAAGCCGGUCGUAGUCCGGAUCGUAGUCUGCAACUCGACUGCGUG